Corylus avellana is the source of this 183-nucleotide non-coding RNA. The record is from RefSeq and is a predicted model, not a curated record. NCBI's taxonomy places the organism in Eukaryota, Viridiplantae, Streptophyta, Magnoliopsida, Fagales, Betulaceae.
CACCCUCCUAAAGCAACAUAUGGGAACCAGGGGAGUCAUUGGGGAUAAGUGGUCUAUGAGGGUUCUGUGGCUCUGUGCAAUUGGAAGUGCGGCCUGUACAUGGUCGCCGUAGAAAGACAAACACAGAACAGGAAUCGCAUGUUGGCUGAGAAUUUGAAGGCUAUGGAAAGUGAAGGAAGUACC